AACGCAACUGGCGCCGGUUUACCGGCAUGCCUGUUUCAGUGUGAUAGGAGAGAAAACUAUCAUUAUAAAAUAUUAUGCGAUUGAGGUACAUUUAUGUUCUUCUUUCGUUUAAUAUGAAGGUGUGGAAGAUGUGUAAUCUCUUACACUGGCUAAAGAAUUAUUCAUGCUUGUACGGGAUCUAGAUUAACGAGUUCUAGAAUUAUAUGCUUAGCUAUAAAAAGCAUCUAAUCAAAUAAAAAUUCCCAAAUUUAUCAUCUGAAAUCAGGCAGGAAUACCCGCUGAACUUAA
This 288-nucleotide unclassified non-coding RNA is filed under the name uncultured fungus. RNAcentral describes it as "partial contains 5.8S rRNA and ITS2". The record is from RNAcentral. Lineage: Eukaryota; Fungi.